UUUUAUUUGAGAGUUUGAUCCUGGCUCAGGAUGAACGCUGGCGGCGUGCCUAACACAUGCAAGUUGAGCGAUUUACUUCGGUAAAGAGCGGCGGACGGGUGAGUAACGCGUGGGUAACCUACCCUGUACACACGGAUAACAUACCGAAAGGUAUGCUAAUACGGGAUAAUAUAUUUGAGAGGCAUCUCUUGAAUAUCAAAGGUGAGCCAGUACAGGAUGGACCCGCGUCUGAUUAGCUAGUUGGUAAGGUAACGGCUUACCAAGGCGACGAUCAGUAGCCGACCUGAGAGGGUGAUCGGCAACAUUGGAACUGAGACACGGUCCAAACUCCUACGGGAGGCAGCAGUGGGGAAUAUUGCACAAU
RNAcentral lists this ribosomal RNA (364 nucleotides) under Clostridioides difficile. RNAcentral's name for it is "bacterial SSU rRNA". It matches the Rfam family "Bacterial small subunit ribosomal RNA", at positions 1 to 372 of the family's 1533-position model. Lineage: Bacteria; Bacillati; Bacillota; Clostridia; Peptostreptococcales; Peptostreptococcaceae. The record is from RNAcentral.